AGUGAACGCUGGCGGUAGGCCUAACACAUGCAAGUCGAACGGCAGCACAGUAAGAGCUUGCUCUUACGGGUGGCGAGUGGCGGACGGGUGAGGAAUACAUCGGAAUCUACUUUUUCGUGGGGGAUAACGUAGGGAAACUUACGCUAAUACCGCAUACGACCUACGGGUGAAAGCAGGGGAUCUUCGGACCUUGCGCGAUUGAAUGAGCCGAUGUCGGAUUAGCUAGUUGGCGGGGUAAAGGCCCACCAAGGCGACGAUCCGUAGCUGGUCUGAGAGGAUGAUCAGCAACAAUGGAACGGAGACACGGUCCAGACUCCGACGGGAGGCAGCAGUGGGGAAUAUUGGACAAUGGGCGCAAGCCUGAUCCAGCCAUACCGCGUGGGUGAAGAAGGCCUUCGGGUUGUAAAGCCCUUUUGUUGGGAAAGAAAAGCAGCAGGUUAAUACCCCGCUGUUCUGACGGUACCCAAAGAAUAAGCACCGGCUAACUUCGUG
RNAcentral lists this ribosomal RNA (492 nucleotides) under uncultured bacterium. RNAcentral's name for it is "partial 16S ribosomal RNA". It matches the Rfam family "Bacterial small subunit ribosomal RNA", at positions 29 to 507 of the family's 1533-position model. The record is from RNAcentral.